Molecule: long non-coding RNA, 1077 nt
Organism: Haplochromis burtoni (Burton's mouthbrooder)
Lineage: Eukaryota; Metazoa; Chordata; Actinopteri; Cichliformes; Cichlidae
Exons: 6
Source: RefSeq, a predicted model, not a curated record
UGUUGUUUGGUUUUUGUUUUCCUUUUUGGCAUAGGUAGGCGAGGCGGGGCUUGAUGGCAUUCCGGCACACCUGCGGCGCAUCGGACGUCAUCAGUGAGCGCUUUUAUGGAGCUGAGUCACGGACGUCUGGUGUCGGAGUAUUGUCGCUGUCACAAGUGCCUGUUCCGCUGCCUGCUCGCCUGCCUAGUUUCUUUGUGUUGGCUACUGUGGAUCCCUGACGGAGAGCUACGUUACACCAGUCUGUGAUCACUGCUACAGCUGUAGUUUUGUGUUUCAAGUAGCUCCGGUGCGUCAUCUGCCCACCCGCAUACCUUGGCUCUGUCUCAUCUCUUCGGCUUUGCUCUCCUUGCACAUUUUUAUUUGUCACUGUAUAUAGCCCCCUCCCUUGUAAAUAUUCCCCAUCAUUGUAGAUAAACUUGCAUCACAACUCUCUUGUGCCCGUGUGUGUUUCUGCCACUAAAUCCAUCCGUGCAGUUUUCCUAACAACACCUGAAAGUCUGAAGUUUUCCAGUAACUGCGUCACAUCAGUGUUCUUCAGCAUCAAGUUGACUUCAAGUUCCAGCAAAGCAAAGCCAGUUGCAAUAUUUAAGCUUGUUUAAAAAAACCACAAAUCCUUAUAACAAAAAAAAAGGGUGUGGAGUCCUGCAUGGACGCGAGGGGAGACACACCCUUGAACUUCAAGGCUUGAAGACAACACAAACAAAGGAGGCAAUAAGGAAGAAAGGAAGAAAAAGACUCAAGGAACUAAACUGCACUAGAGAUGUACCUAACAUAAGUGAAUCUGAAAAACCUUCCUACAGUUUAGUGUCAAUUUAAACAGCCGCUCAAGUUGUUUUCCUUAUUAAAAUUAUGGUUGUCUUUUGGAGAAAUGUACAGUAUGUGAAAGGAAGUUGCAGCCAUUAUUAUUUAAGAAUGUCUUUGACUGUUUUUGUGAGUAACAUCUUUUUACCCUCAUGAGUCAUGGCUUCUUUCUUUCGGCUCAUGCGUAACAUUUUUUGUCACAUGUACUGUAUGCUUUAACUAAUGACUGGGCUUUUCAAUAAAGAGUUGUGAACCAGUAGAGAGUAUUUUAAAUUC